CCUACGGGUGGCAGCAGUGGGGAAUAUUGGACAAUGGGGGGAACCCUGAUCCAGCCAUGCCGCGUGUGUGAAGAAGGCCCUCGGGUUGUAAAGCACUUUCAGUGAGGAAGAACGCCUGGUGGUUAAUACCCAUCAGGAAAGACAUCACUCACAGAAGAAGCACCGGCUAACUCCGUGCCAGCAGCCGCGGUAAUACGGAGGGUGCGAGCGUUAAUCGGAAUUACUGGGCGUAAAGCGCGCGUAGGUGGCUUGAUAAGCCGGUUGUGAAAGCCCCGGGCUCAACCUGGGAACGGCAUCCGGAACUGUCAAGCUAGAGUGCAGGAGAGGAAGGCAGAAUUCCCGGUGUAGCGGUGAAAUGCGUAGAGAUCGGGAGGAAUACCAGUGGCGAAGGCGGCCUUCUGGACUGACACUGACACUGAGGUGCGAAAGCGUGGGUAGCAAACAGGAUUAGAUACCCCAGUAGUC
Molecule: ribosomal RNA, 465 nt
Filed under: Vreelandella stevensii
Lineage: Bacteria; Pseudomonadati; Pseudomonadota; Gammaproteobacteria; Oceanospirillales; Halomonadaceae
Description: partial 16S ribosomal RNA
Rfam family: Bacterial small subunit ribosomal RNA
Source: RNAcentral